RNAcentral lists this ribosomal RNA (824 nucleotides) under Pezicula sporulosa. Its description in RNAcentral is "eukaryotic LSU rRNA". It matches the Rfam family "Eukaryotic large subunit ribosomal RNA", at positions 78 to 919 of the family's 3401-position model. Lineage: Eukaryota; Fungi; Ascomycota; Leotiomycetes; Helotiales; Dermateaceae. The record is from RNAcentral.
CCUCAGUAACGGCGAGUGAAGCGGUAACAGCUCAAAUUUGAAAUCUGGGUCUUUCAGGCUCCGAGUUGUAAUUUGUAGAAGAUGCUUUGGGUGCGGCCCCGGUCUAAGUUCCUUGGAACAGGACGUCAUAGAGGGUGAGAAUCCCGUAUGUGAUCGGUGGCUUGCGCCCGUGUAAAGCUCUUUCGACGAGUCGGGUUGUUUGGGAAUGCAGCUCUAAAUGGGUGGUAAAUUUCAUCUAAAGCUAAAUAUUGGCCAGAGACCGAUAGCGCACAAGUAGAGUGAUCGAAAGAUGAAAAGGACUUUGGAAAGAGAGUUAAACAGUACGUGAAAUUGUUGAAAGGGAAGCGCUUGCAACCAGACUUGCGCGGGGUUGAUCAUCCGGGGUUCUCCCCGGUGCACUCGGCCUCGCUCAGGCCAGCAUCGGUUUCGGUGGUUGGAUAAAGGCCUUGGGAAUGUGACUUCUUUCGGGGAGUGUUAUAGCCCUCGGUGCAAUGCAGCCUACCGGGACCGAGGACCGCGCUUCGGCUAGGAUGCUGGCGUAAUGGUUGUAAGCGACCCGUCUUGAAACACGGACCAAGGAGUCUAACAUCUAUGCGAGUGUUUGGGUGUCAAACCCAUACGCGUAAUGAAAGUGAACGGAGGUGAGAACCCUUAAGGGUGCAUCAUCGACCGAUCCUGAUGUCUUCGGAUGGAUUUGAGUAAGAGCAUAGCUGUUGGGACCCGAAAGAUGGUGAACUAUGCCUGAAUAGGGUGAAGCCAGAGGAAACUCUGGUGGAGGCUCGCAGCGGUUCUGACGUGCAAAUCGAUCGUCAAAUUUGGGCAUA